This 469-nucleotide ribosomal RNA is filed under the name uncultured bacterium. RNAcentral describes it as "bacterial SSU rRNA". It matches the Rfam family "Bacterial small subunit ribosomal RNA", at positions 36 to 507 of the family's 1533-position model. The record is from RNAcentral.
CUGGCGGCGUGCCUAAUACAUGCAAGUCGAGCGGACAUCUUCGGANGUUAGCGGCGACGGUGAGUACACUGGCAAUCUGCCUGGCAGACUGGAAUAACAUCCGGAAACGGGUGCUAAUGCCGGAUAGGCAGCGAAGAGGCAUCUCUUUGCUGAGAAAGGUGCUACGGCACUACUGACAGAGGAGCCCGCGGCGCAUUAGCUAGUUGGUGGGGUAACGGCUCACCAAGGCGACGAUGCGUAGCCGACCUGAGAGGGUGACCGGCCACACUGGGACUGAGACACGGCCCAGACUCCUACGGGAGGCAGCAGUAGGGAAUCUUCCGCAAUGGGCGCAAGCCUGACGGAGCAACGCCGCGUGAGCGAAGAAGGCCUUCGGGUUGUAAAGCUCAGUCAUUCGGGAAGAGCGGGUAGGAGAGGGAAUGCUCCUGCCGAGACGGUACCGGAAGAGGAAGCCCCGGCUAACUACGUG